GGCCUAACACAUGCAAGUCGAGCGGAAACGAGUUAUCUGAACCUUCGGGGAACGAUAACGGCGUCGAGCGGCGGACGGGUGAGUAAUGCCUAGGAAAUUGCCCUGAUGUGGGGGAUAACCAUUGGAAACGAUGGCUAAUACCGCAUAAUACCUACGGGUCAAAGAGGGGGACCUUCGGGCCUCUCGCGUCAGGAUAUGCCUAGGUGGGAUUAGCUAGUUGGUGAGGUAAUGGCUCACCAAGGCGACGAUCCCUAGCUGGUCUGAGAGGAUGAUCAGCCACACUGGAACUGAGACACGGUCCAGACUCCUACGGGAGGCAGCAGUGGGGAAUAUUGCACAAUGGGCGCAAGCCUGAUGCAGCCAUGCCGCGUGUGUGAAGAAGGCCUUCGGGUUGUAAAGCACUUUCAGUCGUGAGGAAGGUAGUGUAGUUAAUAGCUGCAUUAUUUGACGUUAGCGACAGAAGAAGCACCGGCUAACUCCGUGCCAGCAGCCGCGGUAAUACGGAGGGUGCGAGCGUUAAUCGGAAUUACUGGGCGUAAAGCGCAUGCAGGUGGUUUGUUAAGUCAGAUGUGAAAGCCCGGGGCUCAACCUCGGAAUAGCAUUUGAAACUGGCAGACUAGAGUACUGUAGAGGGGGGUAGAAUUUCAGGUGUAGCGGUGAAAUGCGUAGAGAUCUGAAGGAAUACCGGUGGCGAAGGCGGCCCCCUGGACAGAUACUGACACUCAGAUGCGAAAGCGUGGGGAGCAAACAGGAUUAGAUACCCUGGUAGUCCACGCCGUAAACGAUGUCUACUUGGAGGUUGUGGCCUUGAGCCGUGGCUUUCGGAGCUAACGCGUUAAGUAGACCGCCUGGGGAGUACGGUCGCAAGAUUAAAACUCAAAUGAAUUGACGGGGGCCCGCACAAGCGGUGGAGCAUGUGGUUUAAUUCGAUGCAACGCGAAGAACCU
RNAcentral lists this ribosomal RNA (947 nucleotides) under Vibrio harveyi. RNAcentral describes it as "bacterial SSU rRNA". It matches the Rfam family "Bacterial small subunit ribosomal RNA", at positions 45 to 971 of the family's 1533-position model. The record is from RNAcentral. Lineage: Bacteria; Pseudomonadati; Pseudomonadota; Gammaproteobacteria; Vibrionales; Vibrionaceae.